GCUACCGUGGCUUAACGGUAAAGCAAUCGAUUCGUAAUCGAUAGAGUGAGGGUUCGACUCCCCCCGGUAGCUCCA
Molecule: transfer RNA, 75 nt
Filed under: Eubacteriales Family XIII. Incertae Sedis bacterium
Lineage: Bacteria; Bacillati; Bacillota; Clostridia; Peptostreptococcales; Anaerovoracaceae
Description: tRNA-Thr
Rfam family: tRNA
About the family: Transfer RNA (tRNA) molecules are approximately 80 nucleotides in length. Their secondary structure includes four short double-helical elements and three loops (D, anti-codon, and T loops).
Source: RNAcentral